AAAUGAGGGAAAUACAGGUUCCAGCUGACAGUGACAUCAUGCCUGAGCCCCCUGCGACCUUCCAUGGGUGCUGAAGGUGGAAACUGUGCUUGGUAGGAGGACUGGGCCAGGAAAGGACAAGGCUUUUCUCUGACCUACAGAUACAAAGCAGUUUAUUAGAGGAGCCAUGAACCAUAUUUCUGUGACAGAAGAACUGUUUCUUGGUGUCACCAGCCAUAGAGGAAAAUUAGGACUGCAACAUAUUAAUCAUCUUAAAACUCCUAGAGACUCAUGAAAACCAAAUUACACUACCUGAAAAUGUGAAAA
This is a non-coding RNA of Cyanistes caeruleus (blue tit), 306 nucleotides long. The record is from RefSeq and is a predicted model, not a curated record. Lineage: Eukaryota; Metazoa; Chordata; Aves; Passeriformes; Paridae.